Molecule: long non-coding RNA, 1477 nt
Organism: Empidonax traillii (willow flycatcher)
Lineage: Eukaryota; Metazoa; Chordata; Aves; Passeriformes; Tyrannidae
Exons: 6
Source: RefSeq, a predicted model, not a curated record
UAGACCUGGAAGAACAUACAAAAUUACAGGAAGAUCAAAUUAGUUCAUUGUGUGGUAAAAAUUCCAUCCUUCACUUCAGCAGCAUUGGACAAAAGUUAAUUUUAAAACAGUUAAUCCAGACAUAUAAUUGAAUAUGUGAUCUUAAAACAGUUUAAUGCAAAGUCCCAAGUCUGUUUUUAUGUUUGGUAACACAGAAAUCUCUCUCCCUGUGGUUCUUAUCCAAAUUCCUUACCUCCGUCAUCGAACAGCCACCAAAUGUCAAUUGUUCCUUUUCCCUGCUUCUUUUUAAAUUGAGUGCUGGCUUCUAGCAGCUUCUGAUUGAAUUCACCCACAUGCAUUGACUGCAUGGUGUUAAUGGUGCUCUCUGCAAUGGGAAAGAAAAAAAUGUGGAGGGAUGUCUGACAAGCGAGGAUAUGAGUAGCUUUAGGGAGCCAAACAGAGGGAAAACUUCAGGGAAAUGAACUGUUUGUGACAUAAUUUCUAUCCUUUAAAUCUAAAAAAACCCAAUUACAGAGUGGAUGCUAUGGAGUUUUAACGUGCCAGCACUCACAGAAACCAAAGCUUGUGGGAUUCAUUGUCACUAGAUUAUAGCAUCUUGAAAAGGGUUGUCUGAUUAUUUGUUCUCUGUCUCUUUUUACUUAAUGUAAAAUUCACUGGGGCCUUAAAAAGCAAGUGGGAAAUAUCUGAUAGAUUUUAGAAGUAAAUGUGUCAUUUUGCAUCAUUUACAAGCUCAGCUGUCUCGUAAAACACAGCUCUCCCUGGAAGGCACAGCCAUGGUGGAUGAAACGAGGAUGCAGUGGGAGCACAGUCUGUAGAUCUUCCUGAUACCUGUGGGAGUUGAAUGCACAGCGAGAUGUAAUAGUCUCUGCAGGUGAAAAUUCUGAAAAUACAUGUCUGUGUACAGGCAUGGCUUCAGAUCUCAGAAGAGCAUGUUUAUCCUCAGAAUUAGCAUUGUAACAGUUUUGGAGGAACCACUGCAAAUUACUGAGAGCUGAAUUACCAAGACUGCAAAUCAGUGACAGAGCUGAAAAUAGAGCCUGGGUGUCAGUGUUGUUUAAAUAUAUAUUACAUUUGGCACAUAGAGUUCAACUAUAUUUUGUGUCUUUGAAGUAAAACCGAGUAUAAGGAAAUGGAUAGUUUAAUUUUACCUGGAACACUUUGGGUGCGCUGACAAGAGAUGCUAGAGCUGAAGACAGAGUAGCUGAAAAGAUGCCAGCUGUGAUGAGAGGACCAAAGCCAGACACCAUGCUCAUCACCUUUAUGAAAAAAAGAAGGUAAAAAGAAUAGUCAGUCAUCACCUUUAUGAGGAAUAGAAGAAAUGAGAAAAAACACGUGGAGGGAACUUGGAGUGCUGAUCUCAACAUCUUCAGUGGCCAAAAGCCUACAGACAGUAUUAUGAAGUUAAUGAAAUACGUACUUUCAGAUCUCCUGAGAUAUUGGCUCCUGCAAGAAUGCCAGUGGCAGCUGGGAAAAAAAU